UAGGGAAUCUUCCACAAUGGACGCAAGUCUGAUGGAGCAACGCCGCGUGAGUGAAGAAGGUCUUCGGAUCGUAAAGCUCUGUUGUUGGUGAAGAAGGAUAGAGGCAGUAACUGGUCUUUAUUUGACGGUAAUCAACCAGAAAGUCACGGCUAACUACGUGCCAGCAGCCGCGGUAAUACGUAGGUGGCAAGCGUUGUCCGGAUUUAUUGGGCGUAAAGCGAGCGCAGGCGGAAUGAUAAGUCUGAUGUGAAAGCCCACGGCUCAACCGUGGAACUGCAUCGGAAACUGUCAUUCUUGAGUGCAGAAGAGGAGAGUGGAACUCCAUGUGUAGCGGUGGAAUGCGUAGAUAUAUGGAAGAACACCAGUGGCGAAGGCGGCUCUCUGGUCUGCAACUGACGCUGAGGCUCGAAAGCAUGGGUAGCGAACAGGAUUAGAUACCCUGGUAGUCCAUGCCGUAAACGAUGAGCGCUAGGUGUUGGGGACUUUCCGGUUCUCAGUGCCGCAGCAAACGCUUAAGCGCUCCGCCUGGGGAUACG
Molecule: ribosomal RNA, 536 nt
Filed under: uncultured bacterium
Lineage: Bacteria
Description: partial 16S ribosomal RNA
Rfam family: Bacterial small subunit ribosomal RNA
Source: RNAcentral